RNAcentral lists this ribosomal RNA (418 nucleotides) under uncultured microorganism. RNAcentral describes it as "bacterial SSU rRNA". It matches the Rfam family "Bacterial small subunit ribosomal RNA", at positions 9 to 423 of the family's 1533-position model. The record is from RNAcentral.
GAGUUUGAUCAUGGCUCAGAUUGAACGCUGGCGGCAUGCCUUACACAUGCAAGUCGAACGGCAGCAUGAUCUAGCUUGCUAGAUUGAUGGCGAGUGGCGAACGGGUGAGUAAUACAUCGGAACGUGCCCUGUAGUGGGGGAUAACUAGUCGAAAGAUUAGCUAAUACCGCAUACGACCUGAGGGUGAAGGUGGGGGACCGCAAGGCCUCAUGCUAUAGGAGCGGCCGAUGUCUGAUUAGCUAGUUGGUGGGGUAAAGGCCCACCAAGGCGACGAUCAGUAGCUGGUCUGAGAGGACGAUCAGCCACACUGGGACCGAGACACGGCCCAGACUCCUACGGGAGGCAGCAGUGGGGAAUUUUGGACAAUGGGCGAAAGCCUGAUCCAGCAAUGCCGCGUGUGUGAAGAAGGCCUCGGUGU